RNAcentral lists this ribosomal RNA (612 nucleotides) under uncultured archaeon. Its description in RNAcentral is "bacterial SSU rRNA". It matches the Rfam family "Archaeal small subunit ribosomal RNA", at positions 47 to 812 of the family's 1478-position model. The record is from RNAcentral.
AGCAUGCGAGUCGAGAGGGUUCGGCCCUCGGCGAACUGCUCAGUAACACGUGGAUAAUCUGCCCUUAGGUGGAGGAUAACCUCGGGAAACUGAGAAUAAUACUCCAUAGAUCUUUGAGGCUGGAAUGCGCUAAGAUUGAAAGCUUCGGCGCCUAAGGAUGAGUCUGCGGACUAUCAGGUUGUAGUCAGGGCUAAAGACCUGACUAGCCUACGACGGAUACGGGUUGUGAGAGCAAUAACCCGGAGAUGAUAUCUGAGACACGAUAUCAGGCCCUACGGGGCGCAGCAGGCGCGAAAACUUCACAAUGCGCGAAAGCGCGAUGAGGGAAUCCCAAGUGCUUGCACGUAAGUGUAACCUGCUUUCUGUUUAAAAAGCACAGAGAGUANGAGCUGGGUAAGACGGGUGCCAGCCGCCGCGGUAAUACCUGCAGCCUCAAGUGGUGGCCGCUAUUAUUGGGGCCUAAAACGUCCGUGGCCGGCUAAGUAAAUGCCUGCGUAAAUCGGUGCCGCUUUACGGUACGAAUUCCGGGGUUAGACCUGGUUUACCCUUGGGGACCCGGGAACAAAGUUUAGAGGGUACCUUCCCUUGGGGGGUAGGGGGGGGUGGAAAAUU